Molecule: ribosomal RNA, 2133 nt
Filed under: Triticum aestivum (bread wheat)
Lineage: Eukaryota; Viridiplantae; Streptophyta; Magnoliopsida; Poales; Poaceae
Description: partial small subunit ribosomal RNA
Source: RNAcentral
AUGCCUCCAGAGAAGAUAAGGAUCCAUGCAACAAACGUCGAUGCUGCAGCAAGAGAGAUAAUCGGUGUUUUGGAGGAUACAAGCAAAGGAAAUGUGAUCUACUUCAAGGGCUCAAAAGGAUUGGGAGCAUCCUCAAUUCUCAAUCUGGUAGCCCAACGCCUGAAAUCAUCAACAAGAUCGAACAAGUUUGAUAAGGUUAUCCAUGUGGACUGCUUCGUGUGGAAAAGCAUGAGAGCCCUGCAAAAGGCAAUCGCGGAGGAGUUAGAGCUUCCACGUUCAGUGAUGGCCAUCUUUGAUCGGUGCGAGGAGGAGGACGAUUUCAAUGGUAUGGAUCAAGGUUCCAGAGGGGUGAUAGCAGAUAUUAGAAUAGAAAUAUUCAGAAAGCUUUAUAACAGUAGAUUUGUGGUGGUUUUUCACAACGGAAGCAACAGAUACAUUGAUUUGUAUGAGUGUGGCAUCCCAGUAAUAUCACUUUUGAGUAACAAGGUAUUGUGGACCUGGCACGGGAGGUUUCGGAGCAAUGUCAUACUAGAAGAAGGGGAAAAGGAAAAGAUGAAGAGUCAGACAGAUGUUCGCUUAUCUGCUUCUCCUGAAUUUGAAGAUGAGGAAGUGCGAGAUCUACUGCAUGAAGAGGCUUUGCAGGUUGCCAAGUGCACGGGGAUUUCUCAGCCGGACAACAUAAACCACAAGAUAGUCAUGGAGUGCUUCAUAUACCAGGCACUGGUUGCUAUGGACUUGCGGACACAUGCACCAAACUAUUGGAUCUGUGAUGGUAUUAUAGAGGGCCAAAACAAUAGAUCGGCAUGGGAGAUUGGCAAUUCUCUGAAGAGAAACAUGAGCUUGGAAUUGGAUUCAUCUGUUAUACGAUCUGAUGAGGCUGCAGCUUUUUUGCUAGAUGUAUUGAAUGAUUCACAUGUUAACCGCUGGAAUUUCACCACCCACAAAGAACUGCGAAAUGAUAACACUCAUGUGUUGCCUCCUCAGGUCACAUCGUUCUUCCUUUCUGCAGAUGAACUAUCAACAAAUACAACAUCAAUAUUGCCAGUUGGCAUCUUCCAACAUUCACAAAGCAGCAAGCUACGUGUGUUACAUCUGUCUCAUUGCACCUUCAGUUUUGCAUCUCCUCCCUUCGUCCAUUGUGCCCAACUAAGAUUGCUCCAUUUGGACCAUUGCACAAAUAUCACAGAUGAUGAUGAGCAUCCAAGCCGGAAUGAAGACAUGUCAUGUUUCCAGAAGCUAUGGGUGAUGGAUUUGAGGUAUACAGAAUGGUACUGGCUACUGUCGGAAAAGAUGAAGAGGUUGAUGGUCGACCUCAGGGAGCUGAAUGUGGAAGGAGUCAAGCAUGGGAGCAUAAGUGAUUUGUGUGGCGGCAGACCAAGCCUUGUAGUACUUCGCGUAACAGUAGCUGAUCCGGUCUGUAUGGAGAACGAAGACACAAGUAAUCAAGCACAGUUCCCCAAUAUGUCCAGUACAAACAGUGUUACAAUACCUAGCUACAUCAACAACGUCCUGCCUCCAUUGCUUGAGUCAUUUAGCUUCGUCAACAAAGCUGCAACUCCUGCCAAGAUAUCUAGCAUCUCCUUCCGGGGUUGUUCUCAGUUGAAGAGUGUACUUCUCAGGGGAAAUUUGGGGAACCUGGAGGAGCUGGACCUCUCGGGCACAACAGUGAAAACCCUUGACCUCAGAGAAGUGGAAGCUCCAUACCUCAAGCAUCUCAUGCUGCUGGACUGCGAGAAGCUCCGUGCAAUAUUAUGGCCACCAGAAGAUAAAAUGACAUGGGUUUUGGAGAAGUUGCAAAUCAGCACCGUCCAAUCUGCAUCACCUAGCCAGAAUAAUUGGGAAGAGAAGAUCAAGGAGGCUAGUCCUACUGCAGGAUCAUCAUCUAUCCUUAUAUUUGGGGCUUCACCAUUAGGCACCAGGCGAAUUGCAUCUUUUGACUUCAAUUGGAACAUAUCUGUUGCGGAUGCAAGGCUCAUGUGGUCGCUUCUGCCCUUUCAGAAAGAAAUUAGGGAAAACUAUGUAUACAUGGAGAUUGAUUCAUCUCCUGCCAGUGGAGCUGCUGUUGGUCGCCGUGAAGUUGCUCAAGGUAUCGGGAGCCAGCAGCAGUUUUGCUCAAUACUUAUAUGCAAGUGA